Lolium rigidum is the source of this 2830-nucleotide long non-coding RNA. RefSeq lists it as uncharacterized. The record is from RefSeq and is a predicted model, not a curated record. The transcript is spliced from 6 exons. NCBI's taxonomy places the organism in Eukaryota, Viridiplantae, Streptophyta, Magnoliopsida, Poales, Poaceae.
CCACGCCACCAUCUUCUUCCCCUCCAGAUGGCACGCCGCCACCGCCACUCCAUCGAUCGCCUCCCGGCGCAGCGGCCACUUCGUCAUCUCUCCUCAGUGCCUCCUCUUCGUAUCUCCUACCGCAUCCUCUAUCCAUCAUCACGAGAUCUUCUCCACCCCCAUCCAACUAGGUUAUAGCAACGGGAAAGACGGUGAGAGGUCGAGGUCAUUGACACUGGAUCUCCUGACGGUGUCUCCGACGGGCCAGAGUCCUCCGGGCGAUGGGGAGGGGAUUACCACUGCAGCGGCGGGGGCAACCCUAGCGCGGCCGUGCGGGGGAUUGACCGCAGCGGGUCGUCGCACUCUCAUCCCCCUCUUCUCUCUCCAACCGCCCUCAUCACCACCUCCUCUCCCGCAUUCUUGCUCAUCUUUUUUCAUCGGUGGAGGCAGAAAAUUGGGAAAGAACGUUGGAGUACAGAGGAUGGGCGGCCAUGGUUCGGACGUCCUGGCCUCAGCGGGAGGAGGUCGGAGCAGACAGAGUUCCAACGCGGCCCCUGUGCAAGUAUUGAGGAAUGGCGCUAUCUACUUGGUGGAACAGGAAGGGAGCAAGCAGGAGGCCCCAAAUUGUUUUUAGGUCUGAUCGUUGCCGUUCUGGGUAGAUACCACAUCGAUAUUAUUAGUUGUUCUUGCAAAGUAUCGAGCCCCACUAAUGCAGCAAGAUUUACAAGACUGCAGGCGCAGGGUAUUCUCUGCCCACUUCCAAUGGUGGACUCUUACUUUGCAACUUCUUUCUUUCUUGGAAUUAGACAAUGCACUCUAUGUGUUUGAUCCACUGGUCCCCUGCCAAGGCUUCAGUUAUAACAUUUAUAAGGAUUUUCCUUGGGAAUAAUGGAGCUAAUUCAGUGGCAAGAAAGUGACUAUCAAGUAUGGCGCAUACAUGUUCAGAAAACUAUUCUGAAUGGUUUGGUCGAAAUGAAUGAUCUGAAUCAUCUAGCUAUACUAAAUGGCUAUCUUUGAAUCAUAGACUGCUUCCUAACAUGUUUACAAUCCCGUGUUCAUACUUGAGCUCCCCCUCAUCUAUCAGUGUUAUUUCCAAAGAUCCAACAGAUGCAAUAACUCUAAUAUAUUUAUUCCUAUAUGCAUCAGACUGAUAAAUCGAUUUGACAUUGCUCCCCCUCAUUUUUCGAGAUGCAGGACAUCCUGUAAUUGAAUAUGAGAAAUUUGAGAAAGCUGCUUGUACUGAAAGCAUGUGGUAGAAUGGCUCUACCAAAUGCAAAACUAUUUGGAAGAGGUAUGUUUUUAUUAGCUUUUGUUAGGAUGUAGUAUGAUUUAUGUGAGUCUCUCUCUCCCUCCCUCUCCUGGUCAUGAAAGAAAAAAUACAUGGUAUGUGUUAUCAUGCAAUCAUUUUAGUUUUGCAUAUUUUAUGGGAAUAUUUGCUCUGUAUAUUCUGAAGUAAAUGUUUGAUAGUAUUUCAACUGAACAAUUAAAGCACACAAUGUGCAAUCGACUUUAGUUUCAGUUAUGGACUUCUUGUCGUGUAAAAUCCUGAACUCCUGAUGUGUAUGAUGCACAUAGUUUGCCAUACUCAACGAUUUGCAGUUUAGAAUACAAGAACAAGAACAGAAACGUUUAGAUUACUAUGCUCCAAAGUUCUUUGAAGAUCAACUGUGGUCAUAUAUGUGGUGUGAGUGCGCAUAAUUGUACUGAUGUACUUUUUUAAGCGAUAGAUGGUUUGGCGACCGGUUAUCUGUUAACAUUAUAUGAAUUGGGCAUUAACAUUGAUGAUGAUAUUGGUAACUAAAGCAUGGACUCUGUUCUGCCACUACCUGAAAUGUCUAAAUGGAUUUAGGUGUCAGUUUCAUGUUGGGUUAAGAAUAUUUUUCCAUGAACAUACUGGCUCCAAUUUUCAGUGUAAGCGAAGUGCUAGACGCAAAUUAGCUCGGGAAUAUGUCAGAUGGUUGGAGGCAGAGAGUUAUUUGAGAAUGUCUUUUUGGGAGAACCUAUUUGAUGAAAAAGAAGGUCUAUUUUUUUAUUUCUUCACUCUUAUUUGUAUACAGUUUCUUCCGUUCUCCUGUUAAGUAAAUAAAGCAAAUAAAGCGAGAAAGAAGAUAUCUCAAGAACUACGUUUGUACACACUAUCAUAAUACUUUUAGUUUCCAAACAUAUACUAUCUUGCUGUUUAAACGCAUUAGUGGUCAUCUUAAUUAAUAUCAAUUACUGCCCAAAAGCUGCAGUGCAAACAGUAGGAACUUCACCUGUUAUGUUAUGUUCGCUAAUCCCAGAUAUUCCUUAACACGGUAAACCAUUUGUCUGGUUGGUUCUCAGAUUUAUUGGAGUUAUUUUCAAGGGGUGUGUUUUAAUCACGUACACAUCUGAACCAGCAUAUCCAACAGUACAAUAUGCUCUACUUGCAUUUUCUACAGAAGAGUAUUAUAGUGUAGCCGUUCCUCAAAGGUAUUCAGUUGUCAGAACCCAUGGCAUGUCCAAUCUUAAGCUCGCUCAUGAUCACAUCGCAGAAUGGCGUAGCGGCAUUUGUCAUAAACUUGUACUCAUCAGGUCUGCUCAGUAUAAGUCCUCAAACUCUUCACCAAGUUUUCCAUUUUUUUCCUGUUGUGCAUUUUGUUUUCGUUACUAUUUACAAGUCUCGUUGCAAAAUUCUACAAAUUGUAAACAAGGACAUGUAUAUUCUUUUGUAAUCUGGCUGCCUUGCGCUCCAUAAUUUCAUGGUAUGUUUAUUCCAGAGUUUUUGAGUUUUGUGUGCCCGUAAGCAAAGAGGGGUUCAAAAUACAGCGGUGGUAGUACUUAUUAAUUGUUUUUUGAUGUGCUAAGCUAAACGUAAAUCCAAGCUGAA